Molecule: long non-coding RNA, 670 nt
Organism: Musa acuminata AAA Group (dessert banana)
Lineage: Eukaryota; Viridiplantae; Streptophyta; Magnoliopsida; Zingiberales; Musaceae
Exons: 3
Source: RefSeq, a predicted model, not a curated record
CGCUGAGGACGACGUUGCGGCGGUGGACGAAGCGGAACUGCGGUGCAGCAUUGUGGAACCCCGUAACCUUGAGGAUGUCGCCAACUCGGUACCUGUACAAGCCUAUCACACACGGGCAAGUAGAAGUUGCUGAGGUCAUAUAUCGACCACAAGAGGGAGGAAAGGACUGGAUGCACAGUGACCUCCCAAGUUCAGAUGUACUGCGACAUGGAGUCAGGCACAUGGGAUGAAGUUUGAGUCAGAUAUUGAAUGCCUCAUCCAUCCGUUCCAUGUCCAUGAAGCGGACUAAGUCUCCCGAAAAGUUCACGACAAAGCCACUGGUGCAUUUGGGGAUUCAUCCAGAUGAUGCAGUCAGUGGCACAGUUGUCUUCUACAUGUGCAUGCUUAUUUUAUUUGUAGCUGUGUGAGGUCUCACUCGUCAGUGCAUGUUAUCGAGGACUGGCCCGAUCCCUCCCUGCUUGAAGACCAGCAGUAGUACUUGGAGACAAAAAAAAAAGUCAACACAGCCUGAUGGCAAAGACACGACACGGGGGGAGAAGAAAGGUAUGGAUGAGAUGUGGCCAAAGCCAAUGCUGUCUACGAUUCGAAGAACGAGGAGGAGACCUCACCUGUGAAUGUGGUGACGACGAGCUCGUAGUAGCGGCCGACCUCGACAUCCACAAGAUCCACC